UGGUUCUCGCAUCGAUGAAGAACGCAGCGAAAUGCGAUAAGUAAUGUGAAUUGCAGAAUUCAGUGAAUCAUCGAAUCUUUGAACGCACCUUGCGCCCCUUGGUAUUCCGAGGAGCAUGCCCGUUUGAGUGUCGUGAUGACCCUCAAGGUAAAGAUGGCCCCCGCUGUCUUUCCUUGGAUUUUGGAUGUGCUGCUGGUUUGGAAACAAACUGGCUUGUCCUAAAUGCAUUGACUGCCCCCUUUCUGGUUUUCUCGCUUGGCGUGAUAAGUUCUCGCCUGCUUUGAGGGGACAACGAGGGGGGGAGGAAACACUGGCCUUUCUUUUGAAAGCGUCUGACCUCAAAUCGGGUAGGACCACCCGCUGA
RNAcentral lists this unclassified non-coding RNA (364 nucleotides) under uncultured fungus. RNAcentral's name for it is "partial contains 5.8S ribosomal RNA and internal transcribed spacer 2". The stretch from base 1 to 133 matches the Rfam family "5.8S ribosomal RNA", at positions 22 to 154 of the family's 154-position model. Lineage: Eukaryota; Fungi. The record is from RNAcentral.